Schizosaccharomyces pombe (fission yeast) is the source of this 287-nucleotide non-coding RNA. Lineage: Eukaryota; Fungi; Ascomycota; Schizosaccharomycetes; Schizosaccharomycetales; Schizosaccharomycetaceae. The record is from the annotation of a GenBank genome assembly.
UUCUUUUUAUUGUGUAAAUAAAUUAAAAACCAAGAAUACUGUGCAUGAACUAUUACCAUAUUUAGACUUCCGAGUGCAGAUGUAUGCUGUCGAGUCUACCUAUACUGCUGAUUAGAUAUUGCUUAUUAAAACAACAUUUGUAUCAUUUCCUGUAAGCUUGCAUUUUUAUAUUGAAUAUUCGAAUAGAAUACUCAUUGCUGUAUCCAUGUAUUAACGCAACAGUGGACAGCGUAAAUAACAUUGGCAUAUAUAAUGUUAUCAAGCAGGAGAUUUGUAGAAACAGCUUA